Molecule: ribosomal RNA, 475 nt
Filed under: uncultured bacterium
Lineage: Bacteria
Description: bacterial SSU rRNA
Rfam family: Bacterial small subunit ribosomal RNA
Source: RNAcentral
UGCCUAAUACAUGCAAGUCGAACGAACUGUGGAAAGCUUGCUUUCAGAGUUAGUGGCGAACGGGUAGAGUAACACGUAAGUAACCUAGCUAUUAGACGAGGAUAACUACUGGAAACGGUAGCUAAGACUGGAUAUGAUAGAAAUAUUUAAAGGAUGCUAAGGCAUCGCUAAUAGAGGGGCUUGCGGCGCAUUAGCUAGUUGGUAGGGUAAAAGCCAACCAAGGCGAUGAUGCGUAGCCGACCUGAGAGGGUGACCGGCCACACUGGGACUGAGACACGGCCCAGACUCCUACGGGAGGCAGCAGUAGGGAAUCUUCGGCAAUGGACGGAAGUCUGACCGAGCAACGCCGCGUGAGUGAAGAAAGUUUUCGGAUUGUAAAGCUCUGUUAUUAGGGAAGAAAGGCUCUAGGAGGAAAUGCUUAGGGAUUGACGGUACCUAAUGAGGAAGCCACGGCUAACUACGUGCCAGCAGCGGC